AGGUCCCUGCCCACCCAUGUGGGAGACCAGGUGGAGUUCUGGGCUACUGGCUCAGCUGUGGCUGUUGCAGGCAUUUGGGGACUGACCCCCCCAAAGAUGGAGGUUCUCUUGCUCUCUGCCUUUCAAAUAAAUAAAAAUAAAUCAGAAUGUUUUAAAACUAAUCCUGAGCAUACCGGAGUACCCACGUGGGCCCAAGGCAAUCAGACAGCCCUUAAAGCCAGAAAGGCAGAAGCAGCAGAUGGAAGAUGUGAUGGGGGGGUGGGGUGUCACUGCCUGGCCCAAUCGAGCAGGGAAAAGCGCAGGAGGAGGCACGCAGGGACCAGGGCCACAGCCACAGGCCAGGAAUGCAGCGCACCACCCUCGGAAGACAAAAAUCCAGGCUGAAGGCGGUGAGCCCUUGUCCAAGGUCAGACAAUUCUUCCCAAGUGACAGGGACCGAAUUCAAUGCCUCAGGGGAAGGGGACAGGUGGACGGGGUGGCUCCAGGCUCCCCCACCCCCACCCCGUGAGUCCCCUCGUCUCAACUUGGCUUUCAUCCUCCCCACUGCAUACCGGGCUGCAUCAAGGCGCUGACUCAGCUGGAAGGAGCACCCCUCUCAUCCCGCCCUUCCUCUCUGUUGCCAAAAACCUGGGUGCAACAGCUGGAGCUCUGGCAGACGUUUUGAGGGAUGAGGCGAGACUAGGUGUCUCAGUGAGUCUUGGACUGGCCACCAUCAGGCUUCUUUUACAGUGAUGACGACGAUGAUGAUAAACCUUUGUAAGCUUCAGUUACUUCUGUCUGAAGCUUUUAGUUAGGUGCAGGUGAAAUGAACCCUGGGAUACUGGGCCAUGAGCAACCACAACUUGACAUCUUUUCAGAAGCCUCAGAGUAAGGAGCCUGCUCUUCUUCCUCCAUAACAGGUUGUCCAGGGCAGGGCCCUGGGCAGCACCGCCAGGGUCACACACGACUAGAAGAAUCACCAGGGCUCCGCCCAGGGCCACUCUGGUGUUGCUAUGUGUUACUUGUUGGCUUACUUGAAGGAGCAGCAGCCAGCGUGGACUCACCUGCGGGGGUGGGGGAAUUUGGGGACAGAGGGAGCCGCUAGCCGGACACACAGGAAGUGAGGGUGCCCGCUGAGGCCGGCGCAUGGCAAAGCCCAGUUUGCUGGGUACCUCACCCCACUCGGCAGUGUGUCAGUCCCCGGCCACCCCUGCUCCCCCCACCCCGGGGACCCACGUCCCCAGUCCCCCUCUCCCCUCGCAGCACCAGCUGGGGACUGGAGAGGCCACAGCAGCGCCUCUGGUCCCCAGGUCCCCGAUCCCCAGGUCCAGCUGCCGGACACAGGGCGGUCUCUGGACUGUGCCUCU
This 1346-nucleotide long non-coding RNA is filed under the name Oryctolagus cuniculus (rabbit). RNAcentral describes it as "lncRNA (ENSOCUG00000031893.1)". The record is from RNAcentral. Lineage: Eukaryota; Metazoa; Chordata; Mammalia; Lagomorpha; Leporidae.